Molecule: long non-coding RNA, 1119 nt
Organism: Felis catus (domestic cat)
Lineage: Eukaryota; Metazoa; Chordata; Mammalia; Carnivora; Felidae
Exons: 4
Source: RefSeq, a predicted model, not a curated record
CGCGCAGUUGCGCUGCGACUCCUCCCACGUGGCCCGCAGGAUGGAGAAAAGGUAGCAGGAGCCCUGGAAGGGCAGCCACGAUGCGGGGCACUCCUCACAGGAGCCUGUGGGAUGGCGAAGGUCAAAGAGACCAUCCCGGCUCGCCGCCUCCAAUCCCGGCCCAAGCCCCGCCCCCAGCACACACGUCUUACAGCAGCUGUUGCAGGCUCGGACCUCCGCGUUCAAAACACCCAGCGCCGCCUUCUGCUUCGAGGCUGGAAUGACCCCCGCACGCCCCCCACACACUCCAGGUCAUCUGCGGGGACUCAAACAGGACACCCUCCCCCACUCCGGGGCCAACCCCUGGGACCGAAGGGGUCCUCACCCACCCACUACCCUGUCUCCAGGGUCCUAGACACUCCCGGCCCUCACAUCUGGGGGGGGGGGGGAGGCGCUAAGAGUCACCGAGUCACCGUUCUGCACGCACCGUUUGUCCUCAGCAGGUCCUGGUGGCCGAACAGCGCCCCUCGCUCUGUGGAGGCUGUGGAGAGAGGCUCCUGCAGGCGGGGCCGGGGCCUCCGGAACUCUCCCCUUGCCCAGGGGGUGCAGGAGCUCCCAUCUCCGGACGCACAGAAGGGACCGGCAGGCGCACAGCGCACGUGAUGUGCACACACACACACACACACACAGACACACACGCCGAGGAGAGACAUGCACGCAUAUGCAUACACAGGUGCCUGGAGGCUGGAUUUGACCCCCGAUUUGACCUUGAUUCAAUCCUUCUUGGCCAGAAGGGAGAACACGGACAUCUGUUGGGUGGUGGCCAGCUAAGCUUCUGCAUUGGAUCUUUUGCCCGUUGAAAGAAACGGAUUGCCUCGUUGCGUCUGAGAGAGCAAGAUGGUCACCGGCAGCUUUACUGGAGCCGAAGAAGCUGGGCCAGGGUUCCCGUUCUUGCUGUGUCUGCUCGGACUGGCACAGUCUGCUCCAGAAAUACGGCUCAAUAUGUGCCCGCCAGUGUCUCCGUCACUAUGAAGUGAAGGAUACAGGCUUCGCUAAGUUGGAUUAAGAGCUUCCUUGAAUGGAUUAUCCAAGAUAACUACCUUAAUGCUCACUCAUUGUACAUGUAUAAAAAUACUUCAA